RNAcentral lists this ribosomal RNA (511 nucleotides) under uncultured bacterium. Its description in RNAcentral is "bacterial SSU rRNA". It matches the Rfam family "Bacterial small subunit ribosomal RNA", at positions 28 to 530 of the family's 1533-position model. The record is from RNAcentral.
GACGAACGCUGGCGGCGUGGAUUAGGCAUGCAAGUCGAACGGUAUCAUCCUUUCGGGGGUGAGAGGGUGGCGAACUGGUGAGUAACACGUAGGUUAUCUACCCUCAAGACGGGGACAACCCAGGGAAACUUGGGCUAAUACCGGAUGUGAGCAACUUUUAGUUGUUUGAAAGGUGGCGUAAGCUGUCGCUUGGGGAUGAGCCUGCGUCCUAUUAGUUAGUUGGUGAGGUAACGGCUCACCUAGGCAAUGAUAGGUAGGCGGCCUUAACGGGUGGUCGCCCACACUGGGAUUGAGAUACGGCCCAGACUCCUACGGGAGGCAGCAGUCGAGAAUAGUCUACAAUGGUCGGAAGACUGAUAGUGCGACGCCGCGUGAACGAUGAAUCCCUUCGGGGUGUAAAGUUCUUUUAUAUGUGAGCAGUGCUUCUUAUAUUAACAGUAUGGGGAGAGAGAUAUUAGCAUAUGAAUAAGCAACGGCUAACUCCGUGCCAGCAGCCGCGGUAAACUCGUCU